UGCCGGAGUGGCGAAAUUGGUAGACGCAGUUGAUUCAAAAUCAACCGCCUUCGGGUGUGCCGGUUCGAGUCCGCCUUCGGCACC
RNAcentral lists this transfer RNA (84 nucleotides) under Proteus vulgaris. RNAcentral's name for it is "tRNA-Leu". It matches the Rfam family "tRNA". From Rfam's summary of the family: Transfer RNA (tRNA) molecules are approximately 80 nucleotides in length. Their secondary structure includes four short double-helical elements and three loops (D, anti-codon, and T loops). Lineage: Bacteria; Pseudomonadati; Pseudomonadota; Gammaproteobacteria; Enterobacterales; Morganellaceae. The record is from RNAcentral.